Molecule: ribosomal RNA, 253 nt
Filed under: uncultured bacterium
Lineage: Bacteria
Description: partial 16S ribosomal RNA
Rfam family: Bacterial small subunit ribosomal RNA
Source: RNAcentral
UACGUAGGGGGCAAGCGUUGUCCGGAAUCAUUGGGCGUAAAGAGCGUGUAGGCGGCCUGAUAAGUCGGCUGUGAAAGUCAAGGGCUCAACCCUUGAAUGCCGGCCGAUACUGUCAGGCUAGAGUCCGGAAGAGGCGAGUGGAAUUCCUGGUGUAGCGGUGAAAUGCGCAGAUAUCAGGAGGAACACCUAUGGCGAAGGCAGCUCGCUGGGACGGUACUGACACUGAGGCGCGAAAGCGUGGGGAGCGAACAGG